This 253-nucleotide ribosomal RNA is filed under the name uncultured bacterium. RNAcentral describes it as "partial 16S ribosomal RNA". It matches the Rfam family "Bacterial small subunit ribosomal RNA", at positions 524 to 776 of the family's 1533-position model. The record is from RNAcentral.
UACGAAGGGGGCUAGCGUUGCUCGGAAUUACUGGGCGUAAAGGGCGCGUAGGCGGAUAGCUUAGUCAGAGGUAAAAGCCCAGGGCUCAACCUUGGAACUGCCUUUGAUACUGGCUAUCUUGAGUACGGGAGAGGUGUGUGGAACUCCGAGUGUAGAGGUGAAAUUCGUAGAUAUUCGGAAGAACACCAGUGGCGAAGGCGACACACUGGCCCGUUACUGACGCUGAGGCGCGAAAGCGUGGGGAGCAAACAGG